Rosa chinensis is the source of this 349-nucleotide long non-coding RNA. RefSeq lists it as uncharacterized. Lineage: Eukaryota; Viridiplantae; Streptophyta; Magnoliopsida; Rosales; Rosaceae. The transcript is spliced from 2 exons. The record is from RefSeq and is a predicted model, not a curated record.
CUUUUUCAUCCGUGACGUAUUUCCCUUCAUGGGUUUGAACAAUCUUCAUAUGGGUGGUUCUCUAUUUGAUUACAGCAACACACCCAUGUUGGCUAAAGUCUUCUACUUGUAGAUCCUUGAGGUUUUGUUGAUGUGUCAAAAGUCAAAACCCCACUUUUGCUUUUGCUUUUGCUACUUUCAGUUGAUGAGGUUGCAGGAGUAAUACCCUUUCUGUGUACUAGACAAGUCAAUUUCGUAAGUAAUGUUUAGUGGAAGAUCUAGUUGUUGCCUGGAAGUUUAGUGUUUUGAUCAAAUAUAUGAAGAAUAAUAAAAAGAGUACCAGAGCCAAGACGAGCAUAUUUAAAAAGAA